ACUGUCCUACCGGAUGCCAGUAGC
This 24-nucleotide microRNA is filed under the name Equus caballus (horse). RNAcentral describes it as "eca-miR-9040". The record is from miRBase by way of RNAcentral. Lineage: Eukaryota; Metazoa; Chordata; Mammalia; Perissodactyla; Equidae.